UGCUGCCGCUCCGGGAGGUGAAAGCGCUCCGGGUCGGCACACAGGCCGCCCUUGACUGCGGAGCGCCGGCAGGCAGCAAUGGGGACAGCCCUGUGGAAGGCGAGGGGGAGGGCAGAGACUAGGGGAGGCCCCCAGUGGCUCAGAGACUGUGGGUUCGGCGUCCUCCUUCUGGAACUCUGGCGGGCCCUUCGCAGGCAGCAGUAGACAGCGACUGCGCCCGGGCCUGCUGGGCCCUCCUGCCAUCCUGUGGCCACAGAGGCUGCUUGGAACCGUUAGGGAAUUUACUGGGGAUUCAGUGCACGUGUUUAUCUAUCCCUUCAACUUCAUUCUUUCCUCUUCACCACGAAAACCGCACAUCCUCGACCCCAUAUGGAUGGGGCUCUUGUCUUUGGCGCAACUGCUGGGGUGCUCCGAAUCUCCUCGCCACUGCGCUCAGCCUAGAGAUCCCGAACGCUGGAGCCGCUGAGGUAGCAGGGGCGCAACGCACGCCUUCCGGGUUCCCCAGCAGUUCCCGGGCUGCAAAGGGAUUUCGCCAGAUGUUUUCAACUCUCUUUCUAACUGCUGGGGUGUUGGAGACCACUUGCAAACAACCCCACCCCACCGCCCACCUCUCCCCAAUGCGCUCUCCUAACGCAAACCUCAAAUAAACACACACAAUGAGUUACUGGUGUUUCGACUCCACGCUACGCGCUUUGCGCUUUGCAUGCAGCUGUAUCCUUCUUUCCUCUCUCUUCUCGCAUUCUUCUUGU
Molecule: long non-coding RNA, 749 nt
Filed under: Homo sapiens (human)
Lineage: Eukaryota; Metazoa; Chordata; Mammalia; Primates; Hominidae
Description: HSALNT0345643
Source: RNAcentral